Molecule: ribosomal RNA, 428 nt
Filed under: uncultured bacterium
Lineage: Bacteria
Description: partial 16S ribosomal RNA
Rfam family: Bacterial small subunit ribosomal RNA
Source: RNAcentral
GUGGGGAAUAUUGGGCAAUGGGCGCAAGCCUGACCCAGCAACGCCGCGUGAAGGAAGAAGGCUUUCGGGUUGUAAACUUCUUUUACCAGGGACGAAACAAAUGACGGUACCUGGUGAAUAAGCCACGGCUAACUACGUGUCAGCAGCCGCGGUAAUACGUAGGUGGCGAGCGUUAUCCGGAUUUAUUGGGUGUAAAGGGCGUGUAGGCGGGACAGCAAGUCAGAUGUGAAAACCAGAGGCUCAACCUCUGGCCUGCAUUUGAAACUGUUGUUCUUGAGUGUCGGAGAGGUAAUCGGAAUUCCGUGUGUAGCGGUGAAAUGCGUAGAUAUACGGAGGAACACCAGUGGCGAAGGCGGAUUACUGGACGAUAACUGACGCUGAGGCGCGAAAGCGUGGGGAGCAAACAGGAUUAGAUACCCCUGUAGUCC